AAGGUUUUAAGUUACAUAAACUAUUUGCCUUCAAAGCAAAAAACAGAUCUUAUCUAAACCUUG
This 63-nucleotide transfer RNA is filed under the name Neoamphitrite affinis. Its description in RNAcentral is "tRNA-Trp". Lineage: Eukaryota; Metazoa; Annelida; Polychaeta; Terebellida; Terebellidae. The record is from RNAcentral.